GUCUCUUUGUAUAUUAUAAAUAAAGAGUCGGGCCUGCUCGGUGAACAUAUUGUUUUAACAGCUGCGGUAUUUUAACUGUACUAAGGUAGCAUAAUAAUUUGCCUUAUAAUUUGAGGCUAGAAUGAAUGGUUUGACGAAGGUUAAACUGUCUCUAUUUUAUUUUUUAGAAUUUAAUUUACAAAGUGAAAAAGCUUGUAUCUCUUAAAGGGACGAGAAGACCCUAAUGAGCUUUAAUUUUAUUAGUUUUCUUUAUUAUAAUGAAGAGAUGAUUAUAUAAAUUUUAAUUGGGGUGAUUAAGGAAUAAUAUGUUAUAGGUUAGUAACUUCCUUAAAUUAAAUAUUGUUAGAUAAAUUAACCAAUGAUAUUGCUUAUAAUAGAGUUACCAUAGGGAUAACAGCGUAAUUUAUUUUGAGAGUUCUUAUUGAAAAAUGAGAUUGCGACCUCGAUGUUGGAUUAAAGUAACCUUAAGGUGCAGAAGCUUUAAAAGGUAAAUCUGUUCGAUUUUUAAAACUUUACA
Molecule: ribosomal RNA, 517 nt
Filed under: Enoploteuthis leptura
Lineage: Eukaryota; Metazoa; Mollusca; Cephalopoda; Oegopsida; Enoploteuthidae
Description: partial 16S ribosomal RNA
Rfam family: Bacterial large subunit ribosomal RNA
Source: RNAcentral